CAGCCGCCGCGGUAACACGUAAGUUGCGAGCGUUGUUCGGAAUUAUUGGGCGUAAAGGGCAUGUAGGCGGAAAUGCAAGCUUGAUGUGAAAUACUGCAGCUUAACUGCGGAACCGCAUUGAGAACUGCGUAUCUUGAAUUACUGAAGGGUAACCGGAAUUCCACGUGUAGGGGUGAAAUCUGUAGAUAUGUGGAAGAACACCAAUGGCGAAGGCAGGUUACCGGCAGAUAAUUGACGCUGAGGUGCGAAAGUGCGGGGAGCGAACAGGAUUAGAUACCCCUGUAGUCCCUGUCUCUUAUAC
Molecule: ribosomal RNA, 301 nt
Filed under: uncultured bacterium
Lineage: Bacteria
Description: partial 16S ribosomal RNA
Rfam family: Bacterial small subunit ribosomal RNA
Source: RNAcentral